GGUGUUCGGAAAGCUUGUGCAAGGGCUGGCUACAUUAAGGGAUAUUGGAAAGUAUUGUUCCAGCAUGCCAAUUGAAAUUAUGAAUUGUGGCAUGUCGUAUAAUGCUGAUUAUGUUCCUCCUGGUGUGAUUGUGAGGCCUUGUCAGCCUCGAAGAGCAAGUAAAAACCAUGCUAAGGGAAUGGGAGAAGAGAGGGCAAGAAGGGACAUCUCUUCCAAAACCAAAAGGUUCAAAAUCUCUUCAUAAAACUAGAGUUUCACAAAGAUGAAACAUGUACCUAAAACACGCCACAAAGAUAUCAUGGGAUUCCUCAAGUCCAGCCGAAACAUUAGACGAAAUUAAGAUGGGUGGAUAUCCUUGCUGCAAAUUCUCUUUUAGAAACUAUAUACAUAUAGUUAGGAUACAAGCGCUGCAUUGCCUCUGAAUUUUCUUGCUUGUAUCGUGGUUAAUACAGUACCAUUAUUUAAGCAACAAUGCUACUGCUUCCCAGUCUUUAAUAGUUUGCCUGAGGAAAUCGUCGAGAGAUUUAUAGAUUCUUGAUGCUUGUUUGGUUUAGCAUAUUAAGGGUUAAGCUCCAGAAAAUUCUUUUAACACUCAAAUGAUGGGAUGUCAAAUUUAUUGAUCCAGCAGGAUCUGCCUUUCUUCGACAGGUCCGCAUAUGUUGUAUAUUUCUUAGUAAGUUACUCGUCGAUUUUUUUUGGUUUU
Molecule: long non-coding RNA, 703 nt
Organism: Neltuma alba
Lineage: Eukaryota; Viridiplantae; Streptophyta; Magnoliopsida; Fabales; Fabaceae
Exons: 2
Source: RefSeq, a predicted model, not a curated record